RNAcentral lists this ribosomal RNA (428 nucleotides) under uncultured bacterium. RNAcentral's name for it is "partial 16S ribosomal RNA". It matches the Rfam family "Bacterial small subunit ribosomal RNA", at positions 354 to 796 of the family's 1533-position model. The record is from RNAcentral.
GUGGGGAAUAUUGGGCAAUGGGCGCAAGCCUGACCCAGCAACGCCGCGUGAGGGAAGAAGGUUUUCGGAUUGUAAACCUCUGUCGCAAGGGACGAAAGCAAUGACGGUACCUUGUGAGGAAGCCCCGGCUAACUACGUGCCAGCAGCCGCGGUAAUACGUAGGGGGCGAGCGUUGUCCGGAAUUACUGGGCGUAAAGGGUGCGUAGGCGGUUGCUUAAGUUGGAUGUGAAAUACCCGGGCUUAACUUGGGGGGUGCAUUCAAAACUGGGCGACUAGAGUUCAGGAGAGGGAAGCGGAAUUCCUAGUGUAGCGGUGAAAUGCGUAGAUAUUAGGAGGAACACCAGUGGCGAAGGCGGCUUUCUGGACUGACACUGACGCUGAGGCACGAAAGCGUGGGGAGCAAACAGGAUUAGAUACCCUGGUAGUCC